Rhincodon typus (whale shark) is the source of this 481-nucleotide long non-coding RNA. RefSeq lists it as uncharacterized. The record is from RefSeq and is a predicted model, not a curated record. NCBI's taxonomy places the organism in Eukaryota, Metazoa, Chordata, Chondrichthyes, Orectolobiformes, Rhincodontidae. The transcript has 3 exons.
UUGUUUCUCCAGCAAAAGCAGAAGCACAAGAGCUGGAAUUUUCCCCUGGGCCUCUACACCAAUGCAAUUUCACAGGGAAAGUGGACUAAAGGAUAUCAAUGCACAGCCAUUCUGGAGAUUUUCCUGGGUGCACUGGAUCAUUUAGACAGGACAAUUCUGACCUCAAGGUUUGAAAUCCUUAGAAAGACUGACACAGGAGGAACACGAGAGACACAGCAGAGAAUAAAUGCACAGAUUUGAAAUGCAAUGGGUUUUUAAGUUGUGAGUCAUUUCAUCAGUGAAAAGAUCUACCAAAAGGAUUGGAAGUUGCCUCAACCAAUUAAAACUGAAUACAGGCUCUUGAGCCACCUAUAGAAAGAUCAUUGGAGAAUCAAGGAAGAGUGCUGAUAGCCUGGAAAAAUGUGACUAUGAGAUGGAGAAUUCUUUCUUGAUGCAACAUAUCAUUAAAUGAUUUGAGUUGAAUAAUUGGGUGAUUUUCUGA